Molecule: ribosomal RNA, 459 nt
Filed under: uncultured bacterium
Lineage: Bacteria
Description: partial 16S ribosomal RNA
Rfam family: Bacterial small subunit ribosomal RNA
Source: RNAcentral
CCUACGGGUGGCAGCAGUGAGGAAUAUUGGUCAAUGGGCGGGAGCCUGAACCAGCCAAGUCGCGUGAAGGAUGACUGCACUUUGUAUUGUAAACUUCUUUUGUCGAGGAAUAAAGCGAGACACGCGUCCCUUUUUGCGUGUACUUGAUGAAUAAGCAUCGGCUAACUCCGUGCCAGCAGCCGCGGUAAUACGGAGGAUCCGAGCGUUAUCCGGAUUUAUUGGGUUUAAAGGGUGCGCAGAGGGGUGAUUAAUUCAGCGGUAAAAUUUUGGGGCUCAACCGAAACCGGCCAUUGAAACUGGUAGUCUUGAGUUGAAUAGAGGUAUGCGGAAUUCGUGGUGUAGCGGUGAAAUGCUUAGAUAUCACGAAGAACUCCGAUUGCGAAGGCAGCUUACUAAACUGCCACUGACAUUGAUGCUCGAAAGUGUGGGUAUCAAACAGGAUUAGAUACCCCAGUAGUC